GUCCCUGUAGCGCAAUAUAUAGCGUGUUGGACUUCUAACCCAAAGGUAGUGGGUUCGAAUUCCACCUGGGGUU
Molecule: non-coding RNA, 73 nt
Organism: Trichonephila clavipes
Lineage: Eukaryota; Metazoa; Arthropoda; Arachnida; Araneae; Nephilidae
Source: the annotation of a GenBank genome assembly